UACGUAGGGUCCGAGCGUUGUCCGGAUUUAUUGGGCGUAAAGAGCUCGUAGGCGGUUUCGUAAGUCGGAUGUGAAAACUCAGGGCUCAACCCGGAGACGCCAUCCGAUACUGCGAUGACUGGAGUCUGGUAGGGGAUCACGGAAUACCUGGUGUAGCGGUGAAAUGCGCAGAUAUCAGGAGGAACACCGGUGGCGAAGGCGGUUCUCUGGGCAUGUUCUGACGCUGAGGAGCGAAAGUGUGGGGAGCGAACAGG
This 254-nucleotide ribosomal RNA is filed under the name uncultured bacterium. Its description in RNAcentral is "partial 16S ribosomal RNA". It matches the Rfam family "Bacterial small subunit ribosomal RNA", at positions 524 to 776 of the family's 1533-position model. The record is from RNAcentral.